RNAcentral lists this ribosomal RNA (253 nucleotides) under uncultured bacterium. RNAcentral's name for it is "partial 16S ribosomal RNA". It matches the Rfam family "Bacterial small subunit ribosomal RNA", at positions 524 to 776 of the family's 1533-position model. The record is from RNAcentral.
UACAGAGGUCUCAAGCGUUGUUCGGAUUCAUUGGGCGUAAAGGGUGCGUAGGUGGCGGGGUAAGUCAGGUGUGAAAUCUCGGGGCUCAACCCCGAAACUGCACUUGAUACUGCCUUGCUCGAGUACUGGAGAGGAGAUUGGAAUUUACGGUGUAGCGGUGAAAUGCGUAGAGAUCGGGAAGAACGCCGGCGGCGAAAGCGACUCUCUGGUCGGAAUCUGACGCUGAGGCGCGAAAGCUAGGGGAGCAAACGGG